UGAGGAGACAGGGGCACCGGGGCUUAAUAAAUCGGCUGGGAGGCCCCCGAGCCGGGUCUGGUCAGGCAGCGGUAACUGAUUGUCCCGCUCCGGCAAGACGGCAGCACGACUGACAAGACCGGGCAAGACGGCCUUUGACGUUUGGGUCUAGUUUGUUUACAUUUACACCGCGGCUUUAAAGCGAAGGGAACAAAAGUAGCUGUCUCGAGUAGGCUACUGAAGGAGGCAGAGCACGGGCUUGCCGGGCUGCCUUACGCGCCUGUGCGCCAUUAAAUGUGUGGGUGUGUACACGGGCGAGCAAUCAAAGCGGCUACAAACGUAACCCCGCUUCGCCAUGAUAUCCGGCCACUAUUUUUUUCCCUUUCUCUUUUAUGAGGCCAUUUCGUUAGGCAAAAAUGCAUCGGCCAUAUGCAUGCUUCAGCUACACGGAGCUACUAGUCUGGACUGAAGAACCCGCUUGUCAGAGGAAACCUUGCUGCGCAAAUAUCGUAAAUUCCAACCUGCAAGCAAGUGGGCAACACUGGACUCACCAAGGAUAAGCUUGCCCAGGCCUGCCCACUGAGCCACCUGCUGACCUUUCCAUGACCCACACAGAUAAACCACAGACCUACCUUCAGCUGACAAGCACAAAGUGAAAAAUGAAUAAUAAAUCCAGUAUUCAAUUUUUUCUAAAAGUA
Molecule: long non-coding RNA, 677 nt
Organism: Anguilla rostrata (American eel)
Lineage: Eukaryota; Metazoa; Chordata; Actinopteri; Anguilliformes; Anguillidae
Exons: 2
Source: RefSeq, a predicted model, not a curated record